UGAGGAAUAUUGGACAAUGGGCGCAAGCCUGAUCCAGCAAUGCCGCGUGUGUGAAGAAGGCCUGCGGGUUGUAAAGCACUUUAAGCAGGAAAGAAGGGCGGGGUGUUAACACCGCCUCGCAUUGACGUUACCUGCAGAAUAAGCACCGGCUAACUCCGUGCCAGCAGCCGCGGUAAUACGGAGGGUGCGAGCGUUAAUCGGAAUUACUGGGCGUAAAGGGCGCGUAGGUGGUGCGUUGAGUCAGCUGUGAAAGCCCUUGGCUUAACCAAGGAAGAGCAUUUGAAACUGGCUAACUAGAGUACAGGAGAGGAAAGUGGAAUUCCCAGUGUAGAGGUGAGAUUCAUAGAUAUUGGGAGGAACACCGGUAGCGAAGGCGGCUUUCUGGUCUGAUACUGACGCUGAGACGCGAAAGCGUGGGGAGCAAACAGGAUUAGAUACCCUGGUAGUCCACGCCGUAAACUAUGGGAACUAGGUGUAGGGAGUGUUGACCCUUUCUGUGCCGAAGCUAACGCAUUAAGUUCCCCGCCUGGGGAGUACGGUCGCAAGGCUA
This 550-nucleotide ribosomal RNA is filed under the name uncultured bacterium. RNAcentral's name for it is "bacterial SSU rRNA". It matches the Rfam family "Bacterial small subunit ribosomal RNA", at positions 355 to 896 of the family's 1533-position model. The record is from RNAcentral.